This 838-nucleotide ribosomal RNA is filed under the name Schizophyllum commune. Its description in RNAcentral is "eukaryotic LSU rRNA". The stretch from base 104 to 838 matches the Rfam family "Eukaryotic large subunit ribosomal RNA", at positions 1 to 721 of the family's 3401-position model. The record is from RNAcentral. Lineage: Eukaryota; Fungi; Basidiomycota; Agaricomycetes; Agaricales; Schizophyllaceae.
UACGUCGUUGACCAUCUCGGGGCUGACCUAGUCAGUUUCAAUAGGAGUCUGCUUCUAACCGUCUCUUGACUGAGACUAGCGACUUGUGCGCUAACUUUUGACUUGACCUCAAAUCAGGUAGGACUACCCGCUGAACUUAAGCAUAUCAAUAAGCGGAGGAAAAGAAACUAACAAGGAUUCCCCUAGUAACUGCGAGUGAAGCGGGAAAAGCUCAAAUUUAAAAUCUGGCGGUCUCCGGCCGUCCGAGUUGUAAUUUAGAGAAGCGUUAUCCGUGCUGGACCGUGUAUAAGUCUCCUGGAAUGGAGCGUCAUAGAGGGUGAGAAUCCCGUCUUUGACACGGACUACCAGUGCAUUGUGAUGCGCUCUCGACGAGUCGAGUUGUUUGGGAAUGCAGCUCAAAAUGGGUGGUAAAUGCCAUCUAAAGCUAAAUAUUGGCGAGAGACCGAUAGCGAACAAGUACCGUGAGGGAAAGAUGAAAAGAACUUUGGAAAGAGAGUUAAACAGUACGUGAAAUUGUCGAAAGGGAAACGGUUGCAGUCAGUCGCGUCCGCCGGGGAUCAACCUUGCUUUUGCUUGGCGUAUUUCCUGGUGGAUGGGUCAGCAUCAGUUUUGACCGCAGUUGAAAGGCUGGAGGAAUGUGGCACCUUCGGGUGUGUUAUAGCCUCCUGUCAUAUGCUGCGGUUGGGACUGAGGAACUCAGCACGCCGCAAGGCCGGGAUUCGUCCACGUUCGUGCUUAGGAUGCUGGCAUAAUGUCUGUAACCGACCCGUCUUGAAACACGGACCAAGGAGUCUAACAUGCACGCGAGUGUUUGGGUGGCAAACCCGAGCGCGUAAUG